UACGUAGGGUCCAAGCGUUGUCCGGAUUUAUUGGGCGUAAAGAGCUCGUAGGUGGUUCGCUAAGUCGGAUGUGAAAACUCGGGGCUCAACCCCGAGACGCCAUCCGAUACUGGCGUGACUUGAGUCUGGUAGGGGAGAUCGGAAUUCCUGGUGUAGCGGUGAAAUGCGCAGAUAUCAGGAGGAACACCGGUGGCGAAGGCGGAUCUCUGGGCCAGUACUGACACUGAGACGCGAAAGCGUGGGGAGCGAACAGG
This 254-nucleotide ribosomal RNA is filed under the name uncultured bacterium. RNAcentral's name for it is "partial 16S ribosomal RNA". It matches the Rfam family "Bacterial small subunit ribosomal RNA", at positions 524 to 776 of the family's 1533-position model. The record is from RNAcentral.